AGCGAACGCUGGCGGCAGGCUUAACACAUGCAAGUCGAACGGGCGUAGCAAUACGUCAGUGGCAGACGGGUGAGUAACACGUGGGAAUAUCCCUUUCAGCUCGGAAUAACUCAGGGAAACUUGAGCUAAUACCGAAUACGUCCUUCGGGAGAAAGAUUUAUCACUGAGAGAUUAGCCCGCGUCUGAUUAGCUAGUUGGUGAGGUAAUGGCUCACCAAGGCGACGAUCAGUAGCUGGACUGAGAGGAUGAUAAGCCACACUGGGACGGAGACACGGCCCAGACUCCUACGGGGGGCAGCAGUGGGGAAUAUUGGACAAUGGGGGCAACCCUGAUCCAGCCAUGCCGCGUGAGUGAUGAAGGCCUUAGGGUUGUAAAGCUCUUUUGCUAGGGAAGAUAAUGACUGUACCUAGAGAAUAAGCCCCGGCUAACUUCGUGCCAGCCGCCGCCGUAA
RNAcentral lists this ribosomal RNA (451 nucleotides) under uncultured bacterium. RNAcentral describes it as "partial 16S ribosomal RNA". It matches the Rfam family "Bacterial small subunit ribosomal RNA", at positions 29 to 523 of the family's 1533-position model. The record is from RNAcentral.